GCGGCCGCGGCCUGCAACGUCAUCGUGAACGGCACGCGCGGCGCCGCCGCCGAGGGCGCUAAGAGCGCGGAGCCGCCUCCCGAGCAGCCGCCGCCGCCACCGCCGCCCGCGCCCCCCAAGAAGCUGCUGUCGCCUGAGGAACCGGCGGUGAGCGAGCUAGAGUCGGUCAAGGAGAAUAACUGUGCUUCCAACUGCCACCUGGACGGGGAGGCGGCCAAAAAGCUGAUAGGCGAGGAGGCCCUGGCGGGGGGCGACAAGUCAGACCCGAACCUUAAUAACCCCGCGGACGAGGACCAUGCCUAUGCUCUGCGGAUGCUGCCCAAGACCGGCUGCGUGAUCCAGCCUGUGCCAAAACCCGCGGAGAAGGCUGCCAUGGCGCCGUGCAUCAUCUCCUCGCCCAUGCUCAGCGCCGGGCCUGAGGACCUGGAGCCGCCGCUCAAAAGGAGGUGCCUCCGAAUUAGAAAUCAGAAUAAGUAAAAGGUAAUGGGAGGCUUCGAUAGGGAAGAGGGUGGCAUUGCUAAAGUGAGUGACACUGCACAUCUCUGACCUCAUAGACACCUGCCUAAUG
Molecule: small RNA, 568 nt
Filed under: Pan troglodytes (chimpanzee)
Lineage: Eukaryota; Metazoa; Chordata; Mammalia; Primates; Hominidae
Description: processed transcript
Source: RNAcentral